RNAcentral lists this long non-coding RNA (425 nucleotides) under Phoenix dactylifera (date palm). RNAcentral describes it as "long non-coding RNA (PDAC_LNC009772)". Lineage: Eukaryota; Viridiplantae; Streptophyta; Magnoliopsida; Arecales; Arecaceae. The record is from RNAcentral.
AUGGCUGAUUGAUGAUUAAGAAUCAUUCAAGAAUAAUUUGGUCAAAUCGAUUGACAAAUUAUCCUAAGCAAAAGUUGCAUUAAAAUAAUUAUUGAAUUAUUGGAGGGUUAAUUAGUAAUUGGAUUACUAAUAAAUUCAAUUUGAUUGAAUUAUUGGACUUUAAUUAAGCCAAAUUGAAUUAGAUUCAAUUUGGACUAAAUUAGGGUUUGACCUAAUUCAAUCGGGUUCGACCCGAGCCGAUUGGGCAUAACCUAAUUGAUCGGACUUAACCCAAUUGGAUUGGGAUUGACUCAAGUCAAUUAAGAGUCCUUAUUUGAUGAGGAUUAAGAGUCCAAAUAAUCAAAAUUUAUUAUGGAGAAGAAUUCCUAAAAUUUAGGACCCUAGCUUUCUUUCUUGGAAAAGAAAGACACCUCAUCCUUAUCCCU